AGCGAACGCUGGCGGCAUGCCUAACACAUGCAAGUCGCACGGACCUUUCGGGAUUAGUGGCGGACGGGUGAGUAACGCGUAGGGACCUACCCAUGGGUGCGGGAUAACUCCGGGAAACUGGUGCUAAUACCGCAUGAUACCUUAGGGGCAAAGGCUCAACACGCUUGUGGCGGCACCGGGGUUCGUUGAUCUGGUGGGUGGGGUAAGGGCCUACCAAGGCGAUGAUCGGUAGCUGGUUUGAGAGGAUGAUCAGCCACACUGGGACUGAGACACGGCCCAGACUCCUACGGGAGGCAGCAGUGGGGAAUAUUGGGCAAUGGGCGAAAGCCUGAUCCAGCAAUGCCGCGUGAAUGAUGAAGGUCUUAGGAUUGUAAAGCUCUUUCGACGGGGACGAUAAUGACGGUACCCGUAGAAGAAGCCCCGGCUAACUUCGUG
RNAcentral lists this ribosomal RNA (435 nucleotides) under uncultured bacterium. RNAcentral's name for it is "partial 16S ribosomal RNA". It matches the Rfam family "Bacterial small subunit ribosomal RNA", at positions 29 to 507 of the family's 1533-position model. The record is from RNAcentral.